CCAGACUCCUACGGGAGGCAGCAGUGGGGAAUAUUGCACAAUGGGGGAAACCCUGAUGCAGCGACGCCGCGUGAGCGAUGAAGUAUUUCGGUAUGUAAAGCUCUAUCAGCAGGGAAGAGAAUGACGGUACCUGACUAAGAAGCCCCGGCUAACUACGUGCCAGCAGCCGCGGUAAUACGUAGGGGGCAAGCGUUAUCCGGAUUUACUGGGUGUAAAGGGAGCGUAGACGGCGUGGCAAGCCAGAUGUGAAAUACCGGGGCUCAACCCCGGGACUGCUCUGGAAACUGCGUCGCUGGAGUACGGGAGGGGCAGGCGGAAUUCCUGGUGUAGCGGUGAAAUGCGUAGAUAUCAGGAGGAACACCGGCGGCGAAGGCGGCCUGCUGGACUGUGACUGACGUUGAGGCUCGAGAGCGUGGGGAGCAAACAGGAUUAGAUACCCCGGUAA
RNAcentral lists this ribosomal RNA (445 nucleotides) under uncultured bacterium. Its description in RNAcentral is "bacterial SSU rRNA". It matches the Rfam family "Bacterial small subunit ribosomal RNA", at positions 331 to 793 of the family's 1533-position model. The record is from RNAcentral.